Lontra canadensis (Northern American river otter) is the source of this 379-nucleotide long non-coding RNA. RefSeq lists it as uncharacterized. The record is from RefSeq and is a predicted model, not a curated record. The transcript has 4 exons. NCBI's taxonomy places the organism in Eukaryota, Metazoa, Chordata, Mammalia, Carnivora, Mustelidae.
CUUUCCCCUUUGUUGUUUAUCUUUCAUGGCCUGUCAAGGACACAUCCCUACAUAGGAUGCUCAGAAUUGGCUGGCAGUGGUGGGAUCUGAAGCAACUAUCUAUUGGCAUUUAGGAACAAUGAGAAACACAGCCAGAAGAACCUUGAAGGGCGGAGGACAUUCAUCCUUCCUGACAGUUGGCAUAAAGAGCAGGAUGCUUUAAACUCACUGGAUACCACUCUCCCCCAGCAUUGCUGCAGCAGAGAGAUCCUUGGGAAAUCUGACAUAUAGCCAGCAGAAGACUGAAGGAAACUUUUCUUAAGCUAACUGAUUUACAGCAAUUUGGAACAUUCAUCUCCAGCAUCCAGAAACCCAUCGAGUAUUCUAAGAGUCCAUUCUC